AGAUUUCCCACCGCAAGGGUAAGACCCCAGAAAGACUAUCUGGUUGAUAGGUCGAAGGUGUAAGUGCAGCAAUGUAUUUAGCUUAUCGAUACUAAUAGGUCGAGGACUUGACCAA
Molecule: ribosomal RNA, 115 nt
Filed under: Clostridioides difficile
Lineage: Bacteria; Bacillati; Bacillota; Clostridia; Peptostreptococcales; Peptostreptococcaceae
Description: partial 23S ribosomal RNA
Rfam family: Bacterial large subunit ribosomal RNA
Source: RNAcentral